ACUCCUACGGGAGGCAGCAGUGGGGAAUUUUGCGCAAUGGGCGAAAGCCUGACGCAGCAACGCCGCGUGGGUGAUGAAGGUCUUCGGAUCGUAAAACCCUGUCGUCGGGGACGAAGGUGGAGGGGUUAAUAGCCUCUUUGCUUGACGGUACCCGGAGAGGAAGCCCCGGCUAACUCUGUGCCAGCAGCCGCGGUAAUACAGAGGGGGCAAGCGUUAUUCGGAAUUAUUGGGCGUAAAGGGCGCGUUGGCGGCUUUUUAAGUGAGAUGUGUAAUCCCUGAGCUCAACUUGGGAACUGCAUCUCAUACUGGGAGGCUAGAGUACUGGAGAGGGUGGUAGAAUUCCACGUGUAGCGGUGAAAUGCGUAGAGAUGUGGAGGAAUACCAGUGGCGAAGGCGGCCACCUGGACAGUAACUGACGCUGAGGCGCGAAAGUGUGGGUAGCAAACAGGAUUAGAUACCCUGGUAGUCCACACUGUAAACGAUGAACACUUGGUGUGGAGGGAGUUGACCCCUUCCGUGCCGUAGCUAACGCGUUAAGUGUUCCGCCUGGGGAGUACGGUCGCAAGGCUGAAACUCAAAUGAAUUGACGG
RNAcentral lists this ribosomal RNA (590 nucleotides) under uncultured Holophagaceae bacterium. RNAcentral describes it as "bacterial SSU rRNA". It matches the Rfam family "Bacterial small subunit ribosomal RNA", at positions 335 to 916 of the family's 1533-position model. Lineage: Bacteria; Pseudomonadati; Acidobacteriota; Holophagae; Holophagales; Holophagaceae. The record is from RNAcentral.